RNAcentral lists this unclassified non-coding RNA (240 nucleotides) under soil metagenome. Its description in RNAcentral is "partial contains 5.8S ribosomal RNA, internal transcribed spacer 2, and large subunit ribosomal RNA". The record is from RNAcentral.
AACGCACGAGACCUGCGGACCUGCGGAGGGAUCAUUAUUGGAUCUUGGUUUUACUACAAGAGGUUGAGAGCUUUACUGUUCUUGCUUCUUCAAACAAACGAUCACAACAACUAGUAUAGCAGUUGAUUUGGUCUCUGUCUGGUGCGGUUUGUGUGUGUUGGCUGCUGCCAAAUACUCUGCAACAACCGUGCAUAGCGGAGAAGACACCAAAAGUAUUUGCCUGAUAAGAUACAUGGCGUA